RNAcentral lists this ribosomal RNA (536 nucleotides) under Alternaria alternata. RNAcentral's name for it is "eukaryotic LSU rRNA". The stretch from base 160 to 313 matches the Rfam family "5.8S ribosomal RNA". The record is from RNAcentral. Lineage: Eukaryota; Fungi; Ascomycota; Dothideomycetes; Pleosporales; Pleosporaceae.
UAUGAAGGCGGGCUGGAAUCUCUCGGGGUUACAGCCUUGCUGAAUUAUUCACCCUUGUCUUUUGCGUACUUCUUGUUUCCUUGGUGGGUUCGCCCACCACUAGGACAAACAUAAACCUUUUGUAAUUGCAAUCAGCGUCAGUAACAAAUUAAUAAUUACAACUUUCAACAACGGAUCUCUUGGUUCUGGCAUCGAUGAAGAACGCAGCGAAAUGCGAUAAGUAGUGUGAAUUGCAGAAUUCAGUGAAUCAUCGAAUCUUUGAACGCACAUUGCGCCCUUUGGUAUUCCAAAGGGCAUGCCUGUUCGAGCGUCAUUUGUACCCUCAAGCUUUGCUUGGUGUUGGGCGUCUUGUCUCUAGCUUUGCUGGAGACUCGCCUUAAAGUAAUUGGCAGCCGGCCUACUGGUUUCGGAGCGCAGCACAAGUCGCACUCUCUAUCAGCAAAGGUCUAGCAUCCAUUAAGCCUUUUUUCAACUUUUGACCUCGGAUCAGGUAGGGAUACCCGCUGAACUUAAGCAUAUCAAAUAAGCGGAGGAAA